RNAcentral lists this long non-coding RNA (1258 nucleotides) under Oryctolagus cuniculus (rabbit). RNAcentral's name for it is "lncRNA (ENSOCUG00000038440.1)". Lineage: Eukaryota; Metazoa; Chordata; Mammalia; Lagomorpha; Leporidae. The record is from RNAcentral.
UCAGCUGGGAGAAGCCACAGAGGAGGAGGAGGGCGGCUCCUACCCUGAGGCUGCGGUGGCCCACACAGGUGUCAUGGGAAGGGGUGGGUGUCACGCUGGAUGACAGAUUGUCUUCAGCCAGAUGGUGGCGGGUGAAAGAGGCCUCACCAACCUCUGCUGGCCUUCCAGACAGCGCAAGAGCACACGUGUGUGUGUGUGUGUGUGUGUGCACAUGCGUAUACUACAAUGGUGGGAUGUGGGCAGAGCAAAACUCUGGGGAGUUCUUCCCAUUUUCCAUAUCCAAGUCUCAUUUCCAUGAUUUCAGUUCCUUAGAGAAUGUCAGCACUUGUCGAGUCAUUUUCAUUAUUUAGUCUCCACCCUAAAAUUCCCUCAAGAUCUAAAGUCAAGAAGGUCCCCCAGAGGGAUCUCUGUGCCUCUGGAGGAUAAUUCAGACAACCUCCCUGGAGGUCCCCAACUCGGAGGCUGCCUACGCUGCCGCCAUGUCUUCAGCAACUCUCGCCUUUCUUUCCUCCCUGUCGCCACCUUGCCUCGCCGGGGAGGCAUCAACUGGACGCUCCCUCCGGGGACUGGGGCCUCUAAGAGAAGUCCCGGAUUAUGGCACACAGAGAAUGGGAGACCCUGGGGCAGAAAGCACGCGCCCAGAGAGCUCGGCUGCUCCCCUGUCGCACAGGCAGCAGCUCCUCUCGGCCUCCUCCAAGGAUAACGCGUGUCUUCAUUCCCCUGAUGGGUUUAUGGGAGAACGUCGUCUAUCAGACGCAGGACAAGUCUGUCAUCGGAACAUUUAGUGCAGCAGCCGAAAUUGACAGUUUCCGAGCCUUUGUGGUCAGGCAGAGAGAAGACCGGGAAGAGUGGGAAGAGAAUUCUGGGUUCUGGUGCCUGCUCUAUUGGUCUCGAACGCUAGCUUCAGGCAGUUCGCUUUCUUGUGUUGAAAGCUUGUGACAAUUCCUCCAACAGAGAGACAGUUUCUGACUCCAGCUACCGACUUGAGAGACAAGAUCGGGAAUUACAGCUCUUCUCCAGUCACAAGCAAAUCAAUUAGUGUUCAAGAAAAUCGUGCUCAGUGUACUCUAAAUGUGAUGAUUUUCAUCAAACAAGAUUAUCAGAAAACAAUAGGCCUACAAUUUUCCCCAAAGCAAAUGUGAUUUUUACCUAAGGUAAAUUUUCAGAUUAUGUCCUUGGCUUGUACACGGCAUUUCAUACCGUAAAAACAAGCAAGCAAACAAAUAAAUAAACAUUAUGCUACGUUUACGAUUAACCC